Molecule: long non-coding RNA, 297 nt
Filed under: Gossypium raimondii (Peruvian cotton)
Lineage: Eukaryota; Viridiplantae; Streptophyta; Magnoliopsida; Malvales; Malvaceae
Description: long non-coding RNA (GRAI_LNC003694)
Source: RNAcentral
CCAUUUAUCCCAAAUUCACUCACGGGAUAAAAUCUUUAUUGCACAUGGGAUAAAAUCUAUAUCGCAUACGGGUAUUUCCAUGGCCGUGUCAACCAUUUAACCUUAGUCCCCUCUUUUUUUUUCACUUUGUCUUGCUCCCAACCAACCCUAGCCACCGCCACUCUCCUACCCUCAACAUUUUAGCUGUCGUUCCUCCCUUGUCGAACCUAGCCAUCACCACGCCUUAGUCCCCACCUCGUCCUUCCCUGCUUCGAGCCGUACAAAGCUCCCUUACUCCUACAAAGCCACGUGAACCCA